Molecule: non-coding RNA, 45 nt
Organism: Schistosoma haematobium
Lineage: Eukaryota; Metazoa; Platyhelminthes; Trematoda; Strigeidida; Schistosomatidae
Source: Rfam
AUCCAGCUGACGAGUCACAAAUAAAACGAAACCUGCGUCCUGGAU